Molecule: ribosomal RNA, 1001 nt
Filed under: Acinetobacter baumannii
Lineage: Bacteria; Pseudomonadati; Pseudomonadota; Gammaproteobacteria; Moraxellales; Moraxellaceae
Description: partial 23S ribosomal RNA
Rfam family: Bacterial large subunit ribosomal RNA
Source: RNAcentral
GCGGCCGUAACUAUAACGGUCCUAAGGUAGCGAAAUUCCUUGUCGGGUAAGUUCCGACCUGCACGAAUGGCAUAAUGAUGGCGGCGCUGUCUCCAGCAGAGGCUCAGUGAAAUCGAAAUCGCUGUGAAGAUGCAGUGUACCCGCGGCUAGACGGAAAGACCCCGUGAACCUUUACUGCAGCUUGACACUGAACUUUGACCUUACUUGUGUAGGAUAGGUGGGAGGCUUUGAAGCUGGAACGCUAGUUCCAGUGGAGCCGUCCUUGAAAUACCACCCUGGUAAUGUUGAGGUUCUAACUCUGUCCCGUGAUCCGGGACGAGGACCGUGUCUGGUGGGUAGUUUGACUGGGGCGGUCUCCUCCUAAAGAGUAACGGAGGAGUACGAAGGUGCGCUCAGCGUGGUCGGAAAUCACGCGUAGAGUAUAAAGGCAAAAGCGCGCUUAACUGCGAGACCCACAAGUCGAGCAGGUACGAAAGUAGGUCUUAGUGAUCCGGUGGUUCUGUAUGGAAGGGCCAUCGCUCAACGGAUAAAAGGUACUCUGGGGAUAACAGGCUGAUACCGCCCAAGAGUUCAUAUCGACGGCGGUGUUUGGCACCUCGAUGUCGGCUCAUCUCAUCCUGGGGCUGAAGCAGGUCCCAAGGGUAUGGCUGUUCGCCAUUUAAAGAGGUACGCGAGCUGGGUUUAGAACGUCGUGAGACAGUUCGGUCCCUAUCUACCGUGGGCGCUGGAAAUUUGAGAGGAUCUGCUCCUAGUACGAGAGGACCAGAGUGGACGAACCUCUGGUGUACCGGUUGUGACGCCAGUCGCAUCGCCGGGUAGCUAUGUUCGGAAGGGAUAACCGCUGAAAGCAUCUAAGCGGGAAGCCUACCUCAAGAUAAGAUUUCCCUAGGACUUUAUGUCCUCUAAAGAGCCGUUCGAGACUAGGACGUUGAUAGGUUGGAUGUGGAAGCAUAGUGAUAUGUGAAGCUGACCAAUACUAAUUGCUCGUGAGGCUUGACUAU